GAAAGAAAGAGAAAACACAGGCUGACCAUACAUAGCAGGAGCUGGUACUUGCUUCUCCCUUAAGUAUGAGCCAUUAAUUUACAGCCAUGUGCAAAUGCCUAUGUGCACACGUUUGCACCUCUCCACAUGCACAGAAAAUAUGUGCCUCACGUCUGGAACAUUAUUAGUGAAUUUAGAAUGGGAGAAAGAUGGCAGGUUAUGGUUUCGGGUGGAAAGAUCUGGAGGCACACACACAAAAAAUGAGCAUCUACCCUUCUUCCUUGAGCAACUGCUGGGUUGAAAGGUACUUCCAGACUCGCUUCACCUAGUCAAUGGUCCUUCCUCUGUUCCCAGAGUGCAGAUGCGUGCUUGCAACAACAUAGGUGCUUGAUAACUAUGCAUGGAAUAUAAAAUCUGAAUCAGCAAAUUAGGGAAGUAUGAGAAGUUGUAGAAGAGAAGGCUGAGUUGAGGUGAUACUGAAUGGAUUCAACAGUUUCUCUACCAAACAUCUGUCGGACCUCCAUUAUGUGCCAGGCACAGUUCUAAGUUUUAGCUCAGCUAAGACAGACACAAAGCCUUGAGCUCAUGAGACUUGCAUCGGAGUGAGAGUCCCAGCAGCUGCCAUAUGUUGAGUUCUUGCUAUCUGCCGGCACAGUGGAGAACACCUGUGAUGUGAAUCCUACAGAGCGUUGUAGAAGGCAGGUGCUAUCAUCAACUUUACUUCUUCCCAGGUGUGGAAACAACUUCAGAGCAAGUUCACCUCAUGGGUAAGCAGGAGAGCAAACUCCUCCCAAACAUGGGGUUCCAUUUCCUACCCUCUUAGCGUCUCCCUUAUGCAACUCUUGAAGAAAACACUAUCUCAUGUAAUGCUGGCCAGAAGUCCAUGUAGUUGGCAAUUGGCUGCAUUUUUCUGAUGAAAUGAAACUCAGGAAAGUUAAAUCACUUUCACACAUCACAAGCUAAUGGGUGGCAGGUAGGGCAGGAGGGAGAUGGCCCUGGUUUGGUGUCAGAGCCCAUGUUCUUAAGCCCUAAAUUUAUGCCCUUCUCAAGUCUAUAGGUUUGUGGGCAGAUAUAGCAGGGGGUAUCCUUUUUUAACAGAGCUCAGAUCCCAAGGUUCUCAGACUCUAAAGGAGUGCAAGAUUCAUGAGGGGAUUUUAAACAUAGACUUUGAAUCAGCAGGCCAGAUGUUUCCACUAUCCUCGUGUGACCUUCUGGGGCUCCCUAAUUUCUCACUCAUAGCCAUAUUCACCACAUGGCGGGCUUUGUGCUACAGGGCUCCUUGGAAUCUGCAGGACAUCAUGGCCUAAAUCACUCCUUCCUCUUAGUCUCUGAAACAGACAUAUGUUAUUUCGCUUAGCCAGGUCCAGACCUUCUUCUGAUAAUAACAUCUCAAAUUUCCUUUGGAGGAACCAUGUCUCCCUCAUCCCAACUCACAGGAUUUGAAUAGAUUUGACUACUCCCCCAUGGUUCUCCAUGUGACAAGGUACUUUGGUGGACCCUAUGGGGAACAAGAAACCAUCUUUUCACUAGGGCUGCAAAGUGCAUAGAAUGCAUGCUGGAUGCUCUGUUACUAUGAAGGGAGAGUCUGCCAGAGAAUAAAGCCAGCAUUAGGGUAAGCAGAGAUGAAAAUUAGAGAAAGAAUCCUGACGAAAUCUUGGAAUGGCUGGAUCUUGCCCUGGGAGUAGGCUUAUUGCAAAAAAUUCUGUGAUAAGUUAAGACAAUAAAGGCCCUUUUAUGCUUAAGUCAGAUUAAAUUAGAUGUUGACACUUGCUGCCAAAAGAAUCCCCCCAAAAAUCUCCUUUAGGCCAAAUUUUCUUGUACUCCAGAAGAAUCUCCCUCAGAAACUGGAGUGGCUCAUGAUAGUAUUUCACACUAAAGUGCCAAUGACUAGGAGUGCUUGCUGACUCAACCACUGGAAUGUUCUGGAGAUGAAAUCGAUAUUUGAAAGCAACUGGAGGGUAACUGACAGUCGGCCACUGCUCUACACAAAAUGAGAAAACGCUUCUCACUGGUUAAAGAGGGGUGAUGCUUCUGGAAAGGACACAGUCCCCAGUAAUGGAAACAACUCCACGCCUUGCCUCUAGUUUUGCUGUUGUUACCUAGGCUGGAGUGCAAUGGCACAAUCUCGGCUCACCGCAAUCUCCGCUUCCUGGGUUCAAGCAAUUCUCCUGCCUCAGCCUCCCGAGUAGCGGAUUACAGGCACGCGCCACCAUGCCCAGCUAAGGCAGAAGACAAGGGUGAUUAUUUUCAAUUGGACAAAUAUUUAGAUUUUCUCCUCUGAAGAUAAGUCCCAGUGUCUCAAUUGCUAAUUCACUUAUAAUUCUCUAUAAAUUAUUUCACUAUUGGCCUUGGAAGAAAAGACCAACUCAUUCAUACGACUGGAAUUUCUUCCCGCAAUUUCAUAGAGGAAUUCAUUUUCUAAACAUGAGGAUUGAUCAAUAAACAACUUUCAAUCCCUAGGAGGACUUUAAAGGGAUUUAGAUUGUCAAACACUGACUCAGGAUUUGUUCUGGUAGUUGUUAAAAAUUACAUAAACAUAAGUGUUUUUUUCGAACUUCAUCAACCAAAGAGUCAGUAGUAGGAGAAGAGAAGACUUGGACUUGUUAUUGAUUAGUUGCUAUACAUGCUCUUCCAAAGAAAGUUAAUCAACAAGGUGUUGACAAUAUUAGCACAGUCUUACAUCUCUCUUGGAAAUUAUUGCUCACAAUUGCAGAGUCGCUGCUGCAUUCCUCCUUCCUGCCAGGAACUAAUAGAGGUAUCAAUGAGUCACUGAUGGCUUCUGGACAAAGAAGUGACAUGCCGUUAGUGUCAUUUUAAUAACAUUAACAUGGAAAUAGUAGUGCACAUGAUGGAUUGGCUCAUGAUGGAAGCUGGUUAUUAGGACCGUGAGAAAUCUCCUGGGCCUAGGGCCCAACUACAGUCACUGCCUGCUGCUGAGCUCAGCCUUUUGUCUGGGACAGAACACACAUCUUCCCACACCAGAAAGUCCUGUAAUCCUAAGGCAGUAAGCAGACAUCCUGCUCUGUCUACCCUCUUGUGAAAGACUUUCUUAUCAAAUAAUAGGUACAUAUCUGGGUACUAGAGAUGCAACAGAGAACAAAAUCAGCAAGACUUCCUGAUCUCCUGGAGCUUGUAAUCUAACAGGUGAGGCAGACAAUAAACCAGAUGCUUGGCUAAAAAUCUGUGUAUUUGAGAUAAUAAUAUGUUAAAGAACAAAAUGAAGGAAGGUGGAGAGUAGGGAAUUUCUCCGGCUAGGAUAAGAAGAGGGUUGUAACUUUAGACAGGUUGGUUAGGGAGGGCUGGGCUGAGACAAGAUUUGAGGGGAGACUCUAAAGAAGUGAGGGAACAAGUUCUGAGGUUGCCCAAGAGAGGCAGCUUCCAAGUUCUUGGAAGAGCACGUGUUAGUGCUCCAAGAAGGAGCCAUGGCUGUGUCUUGGAAACAUUGUGUUUCUGGUUGGUGUACCUGGAGUAAGGGAAAGGGCAGUGGGAGGAAAUGGGGCCCUAGUAAUGCAGGUCUCAUAGGUCAUUGUGGGGAUGUUGGUUUUAAUGACAAGUGACAUAGAGGCCAGCGGAUGAUUCUGAGUAGAGAGGUGCCUUGACAUGAGUCUCAUUCCAACAGGAUUAUUCUGGCUGCUGUGAGGAUAACAUAAUGUGGGUCAGGCAAGUGAGGAGUCCAGCGUCACAAUACACAGCAGUAACACUGGUGACUUAGACCAGGGAGGCAGAAAUGGAUGGGGUUGUUUCCUGGCACGAUACUGUUCUUUUGUCUGCUUACCCUUGUUUCUCCAUUUCUAGCAAUAGUUACACAUUCAUGAUUCCCGCUGACAUUUCCUGCACUUUCACGAGUUUCUUGAGCCCUGUCUGUUCCCCUGGUUUCAUUAUUAUCAAACAGCUCAGCUGUGAUAGACUGCUGAUCUUCAUCUUCAUAUUGAUUAAUUUCAUUUUCACAUGCAUCACCCGCAUUUCCAGCAUCUUCAGCACAGUUUUCAAAUGAUGAGUCAUUUGCGAACGACAGAUUUUCAUUACAGGAGUCAUCUUUGGAGCAGGAUGUGUUGGACUAGACUCAGGUAAAGUGUUUGCUCAAUUCUGUUUAGCGCUCUCUCUCAUGAAAUGGGAUUUGAUGGGUUUCUUUGAGCCCGGCCACUGUCGAAAUAAUUACAAAGCUGUUUUCUCUUAUUUAUUUGCUGAUCAACUGGGAAUUAUGUUAUUGUUUUACAUGGGAAAUGUAAUUCCAGCAGUCACUACUUUUAAAUGAAAUGAUAACUGUUGCAUUGUGAUUACAUAACGUGUCGAUUAUGAAAUGAGGACCUCUGUCCCUUGAGUCUGGGUUCCAGACUGAGUAUGGGGGAGAAACCUCACUCCAGCUAUUCCCCAGUUGGUUAACAGAGGUCUCUCAUUUAUGGCAGGGGGUACAAAUUGAAAUCAUUCUUAAGACUUGUCAGCCAACGUAACUGGGUGAAUCAGGCACAUGUAAGAAAACAGAGACUGGAGGGUACUGUUUCACUGAACUCUACAGGAACAAGCCAAGACCAGCACUCUUUUCUUAUCCUGCCUAAAUGUGAUUUCAAUAUUAAUAAAUUUCCUUAAAAGAAGCCAGAAAUCUGGAUUACUAUGGAUACUCUGAUAUUUACUUAUUUUUCACUUUUAGAGAAACAAAAUGGGUCUUUGAACCAGACACAAUUCAAGUUGUCCUGUAAUUCCUUAUUCACAAAGAUACCUUUGCACUUUCUGUAUUUAUUAUGCUGCUUCAAUAAGGACAACCAUAUAGGACUCUGUAUAGUCAAAGCUUGCUAUAACUGACAGCAAAGAAUCUUACUUAGGAAAAGUAACCAAAUAAUUUUUCCUUCUGCUGUGAUAAAAUACCAUAGACCAGGUAGCUUAUAAACAACAGAAAUUGGUUUUUCAUAGUUCUACAGGCUGGAAGGUCCAAGAUCAAGCCAUCAACAGACUCUGUGUCUGGUUCACAGAUGGCGCCUUCUUGCUUUGUCCUCACACGGCAGAAGGGACAAAUGAGCUCCCUUGGGCCUGUUUUAUAAGGACACUCAACCCGGUUAUGAGGACUCUGCCCUCAUGACUAAAUCACCUCCCAAAAGGCCCCACCUUCUAAUACCACCAUCCUGGAGGUUAGAAUUUCAACAGAUAAAUUUUGAGGGACACAGACAUUCAGACCACAGUAGGGUGGUUUUCUAACAUACCCAUGUUCUAACACUGGCCCCUGGAGGACUGAGUAUUGAAUCCUGGCCUGAACUGACCCUUAGGCUCUUGGUUGUGUGCUACACUUCCCACCAGUGAGUUGAUGGUGUUAGUAGCAUUUGAACUCAAGACUCUGACUCCAAAUCCUGUUUUCUUUCCUUUUUUUUCUGGUCCUUCUUUUCUUCAAAAUCCAGUGCAAGUACUCACUUGAGUCAGGCCUGGAGCACCACCGGUUUAUAAGGAAACAUCCUCUUUGGAUCAUCUAUUCAUGGCCACCAUAGGAUUUAGAAGAAAUGCAGGAUCUGAACUGAAACAAGUGUUUUCUAAUCUCAGUGCUGCAGCUAGUCUGCCUGGCAACUAGAUCCCAGGCACCAUAGCCUCUGAGGCUUGUCCUGCAGUCAUUUAGGAAAAUCGUCUUUAAAUGUUGUCUCUGUCUCUGUCCCUCUCUUUCUCCUCACCAACAUGAUCUCCAUUUUAAUGUCUGAACUUCUAAAAUAUGCUUAAUAAUUACUGGUAAGUAUACAAGUUAUGAUAAUGAGACACACAUCUAGAAAAAGUCACCUAGACUUUCCAAAGUAAAAAUUGACUUCAUGAAGAGCUAGCACCACCAGCUUUAAGCUCUGGAGAGUGUUGCUGACUGUAUACCUGAAAGUGGGUAGGCAUUAGCUGAGAUCAUUUGAAAUACAGAUUCUGAUUCAGUAGGAUGGGAGGAGGCCUGGACUUCUUUUCUUAGGAGCUCCUGGUGAUGUUAAUGAGGCAGAUCUGUGGACCAUACUGAGUAGCAAGAUGCUAUAAAACUGGUACCUCAUCUCUCUCUUCCUCUCUCUCUUCAUCCUCCAUUGUAUGUUUUCCUUCAAACAUCAACAUUCAGAGUAAAUAAAAAAUCAUGUUUUAUUCAAUAUAUUUAUUUUUCUGUUUUGUUUAAAAGUGACUACAUUUUAGCUCUCCUAUGAGUUAAAAUGGCUUUCUGUGUGUGUGUAAGCAGGGGUAGCUUUUCCAGGAAUGAAAGUACCUUAGAGACCAUUCUUUGCAUAAUCCCAGAUCAAAAUGGCCAACAUAAAUAAUAAUUAUAAUGAUAUUAUUUUUAUUAUGAUAAUGCUGAUUGGACAUAUUCUUUGUUAAGCACUGUAUUAGUGUGUAACUUAAUAUAUUUCUUUGCUCAUGAUAACCACAUAGGUUGGGCACUGUUGCACCAAUCUCAAGUUUAUAGAUGACACACACACAGGGCAAGAGACUUUGAGGAACUGGCCCAGGACCACAAGCAGGAACAUGGUAGAGGCAGGAUUCAACCAAUGCCUGGGAUUAUUCAAAACUUCAAAUCCUGUUAGAAUUUUGGGGCAUGCCACCAUGCAGACUGAGUAUAGCAUGUCCUUCAUGAAAAUGACAGAGGGAAGUGUUUUGUUGGUAUCAGCCCUAAGGCUUGUGGUCUUUUCUUGUUAAUGGGUAUUCCAGAAAGCAUCCUGCUUCAACCAGUUUUCUGUAUAACUGUAUACCUUAAAGUACUGGACAGGUAUCUGGGUACCAGAAGGGACCAACACAACAGGCUAUAGCAGGUGAAGUUUAGCCCCACCUAGGAAGGAGACUGAACAGUUGAAAAGAGCUUCUCAAAAGGCAUGUGGAAUCAAAAGAAAAAUGCAUACGUUGCAUUUCCUUAUUCUGAAUCUUGCAAAAGAUGCAAAAUGCCACUUAAAAAUAGCCCAAUUGUUGGGAUUCUCUCAUGCUGAGGGAUUGAGGAGAAAAUAUAAUCAAACUCCUGUUGAGGAUUUGGCCAUUGGCAUGGGCUUCUAGCUAAACAGCCUGUUUCCUAAGUAGAGUCAGGUCAUUACCAUUGGCAGUAAGGGUCCAGGUGAUCCUGAGGGCAGGGCAUUUAGGGAGGCAGCUGAAAGGCCCUCCACCAACCAGGCAUGAGACAAAUGUGAUUCUCUGCCAUCCACAACCUACACGGAGAGCCCACCACCACCAAACAGUAUAAAAAGAUGAUGAAGAGAGUGAGCUCUAGAGCCAGACUCAGCUGUUAACUAGCCUGGGACCUCGAGCCCUUGUGAUACUCACAUUCCUGGUUUGCAAAAUGGUAUAAUGGUAUCUUCCUGAUACCACUGUGAGAAUUAAAUGAGGAAUUAUUUGGAUAUUGUAAGUGGACCAGAAAUAAUCCCUAGUUUUAUUCACUAUAAUAUUUCCAGACCUAAUGUUUCUUAAUUCAAGGAAGAAACUGAAGAAAUAUUCAUAGUUCUUACAUGAAUGAUCAACUUAGUACAGGAUCUGGAAUAGAGGAGAAACUCAGAUCUUUGCUGGUAUAAACAUGAAAUUUCACACACGAGGAAGACUCAUCAAGACCUGGUAUGCUUAGGGAAACCCAACAGUUAGGAAAUAAGUUUAUGAUGGAAGCUAAUGUUUAAAUAAUGCUUAUGCUCUGUGUUAGACACUCUUGUAACCAAGCACUUAAUAUUCACCGAUACACUAAAAUCUCUAGACACCCCCAUUAUUUACAGGGUAUUUUUAUCACCCAGACCCUAUAUUGCAGAUGAGAACACUGUGGCAUAGAGAAGAUAAUUAUGUCGUUUAAGACCACAGAUCUCAUAAAUGGCAGAGCUUGAAUUUAAAAUCAGAAGGUUUAGCUCCAGAGUCCAUAUUCUCAAUCACUAUCUACCAUUGCUGUUCAUUUAUGAGACUUACAGGGUGUGAGGACUUGCCUCUAGACUUGUACCUCUUUGAGUCUACCCUUAUCUCCAUUUCAAAGAUAGUCUGUCUCCUUGGAAAGAGAACCAUGUGUUAGCGGGGAGUUGUCUGUAGAAAUUGAGGAAGACCAUGUGGGCUAAACUGGAAAUGUACUUUUUCUUUUUUUUGAGACGGAGUUUCGCUCUUGUUACCCAGGCUGGAGUGCAAUGGCGCGAUCUCGGCUCACCGCAACCUCCGCCUCCUGGGUUCAGGCAAUUCUCCUGCCUCAGCCUCCUGCAUAGCUGGGAUUACAGGCACGCACCACCAUGCCCAGCUAAUUUUUUGAUUUUUUUAGUAGAGACGGGGUUUCACCAUGUUGACCAGGAUGGUCUCGAUCUCUUGACCUCGUGAUCCACCCACCUCGGCCUCCCAAAGUGCUGAGAUUACAGGCUUGAGCCACCGUGCCCAGCCGUACUUUUUCCUACUCAUGUUUUUAAGUAAUCGAGCAGAAUUAAAAUUUAUUAAAAUUAAAUUAUGGCUC
Callithrix jacchus (white-tufted-ear marmoset) is the source of this 8368-nucleotide non-coding RNA. NCBI's taxonomy places the organism in Eukaryota, Metazoa, Chordata, Mammalia, Primates, Cebidae. The record is from RefSeq and is a predicted model, not a curated record.